This 2923-nucleotide ribosomal RNA is filed under the name Klebsiella pneumoniae. Its description in RNAcentral is "bacterial LSU rRNA". It matches the Rfam family "Bacterial large subunit ribosomal RNA". The record is from RNAcentral. Lineage: Bacteria; Pseudomonadati; Pseudomonadota; Gammaproteobacteria; Enterobacterales; Enterobacteriaceae.
GGGUUGUGAGGUUAAGCGACUAAGCGUACACGGUGGAUGCCCUGGCAGUCAGAGGCGAUGAAGGACGUGCUAAUCUGCGAAAAGCGUCGGUAAGGUGAUAUGAACCGUUAUAGCCGGCGAUGUCCGAAUGGGGAAACCCAGUGCAAUUCGUUGCACUAUCGUUAACUGAAUACAUAGGUUAACGAGGCGAACCGGGGGAACUGAAACAUCUAAGUACCCCGAGGAAAAGAAAUCAACCGAGAUUCCCCCAGUAGCGGCGAGCGAACGGGGAGCAGCCCAGAGUCUGAAUCAGCUUGUGUGUUAGUGGAACGGUCUGGAAAGUCCGACGGUACAGGGUGAUAGUCCCGUACACCAAAAUGCACAGGCUGUGAACUCGAAGAGUAGGGCGGGACACGUGGUAUCCUGUCUGAAUAUGGGGGGACCAUCCUCCAAGGCUAAAUACUCCUGACUGACCGAUAGUGAACCAGUACCGUGAGGGAAAGGCGAAAAGAACCCCGGCGAGGGGAGUGAAAAAGAACCUGAAACCGUGUACGUACAAGCAGUGGGAGCACCUUCGGGUGUGACUGCGUACCUUUUGUAUAAUGGGUCAGCGACUUAUAUUCUGUAGCAAGGUUAACCGUAUAGGGGAGCCGCAGGGAAACCGAGUCUUAACUGGGCGUUAAGUUGCAGGGUAUAGACCCGAAACCCGGUGAUCUAGCCAUGGGCAGGUUGAAGGUUGGGUAACACUAACUGGAGGACCGAACCGACUAAUGUUGAAAAAUUAGCGGAUGACUUGUGGCUGGGGGUGAAAGGCCAAUCAAACCGGGAGAUAGCUGGUUCUCCCCGAAAGCUAUUUAGGUAGCGCCUCGUGAACUCAUCUUCGGGGGUAGAGCACUGUUUCGGCUAGGGGGUCAUCCCGACUUACCAACCCGAUGCAAACUACGAAUACCGAAGAAUGUUAUCACGGGAGACACACGGCGGGUGCUAACGUCCGUCGUGAAGAGGGAAACAACCCAGACCGCCAGCUAAGGUCCCAAAGUCAUGGUUAAGUGGGAAACGAUGUGGGAAGGCACAGACAGCCAGGAUGUUGGCUUAGAAGCAGCCAUCAUUUAAAGAAAGCGUAAUAGCUCACUGGUCGAGUCGGCCUGCGCGGAAGAUGUAACGGGGCUAAACCAUGCACCGAAGCUGCGGCAGCGACACUAUGUGUUGUUGGGUAGGGGAGCGUUCUGUAAGCCUGCGAAGGUGGCCUGUGAGGGUUGCUGGAGGUAUCAGAAGUGCGAAUGCUGACAUAAGUAACGAUAAAGCGGGUGAAAAGCCCGCUCGCCGGAAGACCAAGGGUUCCUGUCCAACGUUAAUCGGGGCAGGGUGAGUCGACCCCUAAGGCGAGGCCGAAAGGCGUAGUCGAUGGGAAACAGGUUAAUAUUCCUGUACUUGGUGUUACUGCGAAGGGGGGACGGAGAAGGCUAUGUUAGCCGGGCGACGGUUGUCCCGGUUUAAGCAUGUAGGCUGGUUGUCCAGGCAAAUCCGGAUAAUCAAGGCUGAGGUGUGAUGACGAGGCACUACGGUGCUGAAGUAACAAAUGCCCUGCUUCCAGGAAAAGCCUCUAAGCAUCAGGUAACAUCAAAUCGUACCCCAAACCGACACAGGUGGUCAGGUAGAGAAUACCAAGGCGCUUGAGAGAACUCGGGUGAAGGAACUAGGCAAAAUGGUGCCGUAACUUCGGGAGAAGGCACGCUGGUGUGUAGGUGAAGCCCCUGCGGGUGGAGCUGAGACCAGUCGAAGAUACCAGCUGGCUGCAACUGUUUAUUAAAAACACAGCACUGUGCAAACACGAAAGUGGACGUAUACGGUGUGACGCCUGCCCGGUGCCGGAAGGUUAAUUGAUGGGGUUAUCCGUAAGGAGAAGCUCUUGAUCGAAGCCCCGGUAAACGGCGGCCGUAACUAUAACGGUCCUAAGGUAGCGAAAUUCCUUGUCGGGUAAGUUCCGACCUGCACGAAUGGCGUAAUGAUGGCCAGGCUGUCUCCACCCGAGACUCAGUGAAAUUGAACUCGCUGUGAAGAUGCAGUGUACCCGCGGCAAGACGGAAAGACCCCGUGAACCUUUACUAUAGCUUGACACUGAACAUUGAGCCUUGAUGUGUAGGAUAGGUGGGAGGCUUUGAAGCGUGGACGCCAGUCUGCGUGGAGCCAACCUUGAAAUACCACCCUUUAAUGUUUGAUGUUCUAACGUUGGCCCCUGACCGGGGUUGCGGACAGUGUCUGGUGGGUAGUUUGACUGGGGCGGUCUCCUCCCAAAGCGUAACGGAGGAGCACGAAGGUUAGCUAAUCCUGGUCGGACAUCAGGAGGUUAGUGCAAUGGCAUAAGCUAGCUUGACUGCGAGCGUGACGGCGCGAGCAGGUGCGAAAGCAGGUCAUAGUGAUCCGGUGGUUCUGAAUGGAAGGGCCAUCGCUCAACGGAUAAAAGGUACUCCGGGGAUAACAGGCUGAUACCGCCCAAGAGUUCAUAUCGACGGCGGUGUUUGGCACCUCGAUGUCGGCUCAUCACAUCCUGGGGCUGAAGUAGGUCCCAAGGGUAUGGCUGUUCGCCAUUUAAAGUGGUACGCGAGCUGGGUUUAGAACGUCGUGAGACAGUUCGGUCCCUAUCUGCCGUGGGCGCUGGAGAAUUGAGGGGGGCUGCUCCUAGUACGAGAGGACCGGAGUGGACGCAUCACUGGUGUUCGGGUUGUCAUGCCAAUGGCACUGCCCGGUAGCUAAAUGCGGAAGAGAUAAGUGCUGAAAGCAUCUAAGCACGAAACUUGCCCCGAGAUGAGUUCUCCCUGAGACUUUAAGUCUCCUGAAGGAACGUUGAAGACGACGACGUUGAUAGGCCGGGUGUGUAAGCGCAGCGAUGCGUUGAGCUAACCGGUACUAAUGAACCGUGAGGCUUAACCUUACAACGCCGAAG